GGGGCGGUUCGGUGGCACCGAGAAACGAGCUUCGACACCUCGUUUUCCGCGGGUUCGAUUCCCGCCCGUUCCA
RNAcentral lists this transfer RNA (73 nucleotides) under Gemmatimonadota bacterium. RNAcentral's name for it is "tRNA-OTHER". The record is from RNAcentral. Lineage: Bacteria; Pseudomonadati; Gemmatimonadota.